RNAcentral lists this long non-coding RNA (1005 nucleotides) under Equus caballus (horse). RNAcentral's name for it is "lncRNA (ENSECAG00000059712.1)". The record is from RNAcentral. Lineage: Eukaryota; Metazoa; Chordata; Mammalia; Perissodactyla; Equidae.
UGAUUAUAUCAAGCCACGCUCGGGGGGAUGGUGGUGAGAAGCCAGGCGCGGAGGUGGAAAAGACCUCCACGCAAUCCACAGUGCGGGGGGAGGGGGAGGAAGCGGAGGGAGUAGAGGGGAAGGAGAAGUAGGCAGGCACUGGACGCCUCCCGGGCUCCUUUUCCGCCAGACCCGGGCGCUGCUUGGGUCAGGGCGAAGCCUGGCCCUUCCUGCACCUUUCCGGGCGAGGUCCCCUAAACUAGGCGAGCAGCGUUUGGUAAUGGUAGUGGAGAGGGGUCGCCGUCCUUCCAACCUCAAACCCCUUUCCCCAUAAAGCUUCCCACCUUUUAGUCCGGAGGCUCCUCCCUCUCCUCAAUGCGUUCCCUUCCCUCAAGCGCUGCCACCAGCUGGGUAGAGAGGGCCACUGAAGCGGGAACAGAGAGAGGCCAGGGCUCGGACCCUCCCAGUUCCGCCUGGCAGCCUGUGCGCCGGCGGUUAGUUGAGUCAUCUGAUCCUGACUGCCGGAGAGGAACGCAUACCCAGAGGAGCGGCUCACCAAGCCCAGGCGGGAGGUGGAAGCUGCAGGGUCACCCGGGGCCCUGGCGACCAAAGGGCACUGAAGAUCUUUAAAGGAAGAUGUCUUACCACCUCUAAAGCUUUUUAACAAGAUGUGCUGUGGGCUCUGCAGACAGCGCCCAAUGAAGAGCUCCAAAAUAGGUUUCAGCAAUGGAAGCAUUACUGCAAUAAGUGACAGACUUCCAAGAUGACCAGUUAGCUAAGGACACACUCAAAUGCACGUGUAAGUUCUGGUACAGUUGACUAUAUCAGUUAACAUUCAUAUCUUGGUUAUAUGGUUUCAGCCCCACAGCACAAUACCAGAGUUAAGGAUAAAAUUAUUCUUAACAUCUUCUAUUAUUGUACUUCACAAAAUUUUACAAUCUUUAGGUGCAUCUUACAGAUUUUACACAAAAAUGUCUUGAUAUUGAAGGAUCUAGGCAUUGUUUUGAAUGAUUUCCAGCAUUAUCC